GGGGUCGAUUUGGAUUCGACGCUGGUGACAAAGUCUUAGGUGCAUGUCGUGAGGGUAGCCAAUCACGUUAAUCCAAAGCUGCAAACUUACAGUUGCCAAUGAUGACAACUACGGUGCCCAAUUAGCUGCGUAAGCAGCUUUUGAAAGCACCAUUUAGCGGUUCGCCGCUAACGGUCUCUAACAAGGUGCCAGUACCGCGUUAAAGCCCGUCAUACAGAACUGGAUCGCAGUGAAGCUUGCCUGGGGUGGAUCAGCUAAAACUUAUCAGGAUCGCGGUUUACGUCCCGCCCGCUGGGCUGUAAAUCGCUAAAUCAAUAGGCGGUUCUAAACAUGUAGAGCCGAGGAUGGAGUGCUGGCGGACGGGGGUUCAAAUCCCCCCGACUCCACCA
This 389-nucleotide transfer-messenger RNA is filed under the name Cellvibrio sp. It matches the Rfam family "transfer-messenger RNA". Rfam says of the family: Bacterial tmRNA, also known as 10Sa RNA or SsrA, is named for its dual tRNA and mRNA-like properties. Its role is to liberate the mRNA from a stalled ribosome. The record is from RNAcentral. Lineage: Bacteria; Pseudomonadati; Pseudomonadota; Gammaproteobacteria; Cellvibrionales; Cellvibrionaceae.